AAUAAGCCAUUGACUUAAAACAACGCUAGGUACAAAAAGCGUAUGAAGCUUGUGAGUAACGAAAAGCCACGACUGGGGAGGGCACAAAAAUCUCUUUCGACAUUGCACAAAAUGUAGGCUGGCGAGAACAGCUGUCCCCCAAAACAAAAUCACACAGUUCAAGACUUCAUUUCUUCAUCAUCAUCAUCAUAUAUACGCACAAAUAUACUGUGUCAGGAAAUACCUGUAUAUUCUCACACCACAUAUCGAGUAAGCCGUAUCUACAUACGUGUGUGGGGCAUAUCACGUUGUAUCCACGAUACAACAGUCACUACGACAGUUCUGAGGGACAACCUCGCCCGCGCCAACCGGUCUUCAAAUAAAAAAUGGGUGAAAAAAUUCUCUCUUAUCUUGCACGACGUUCUCUUGUAUAGAUACACAUUAAAUAUACACUACACCAAAACGGCUUUUCUAUCUGAUUUCUCACCUAUUCAACAUCCUAGGGAAUCGGAGCGCUAUCUAUAGCCACACCAUGGUCGUACUUGGUUAUAUAGAUAAUAUACAGGUGUCUAAGCAGCAUAACCAGAGUGCUGGAAGGAUCCCAGCCACAGAGAGAGAAAUGGCACUAGUGCAUUUACACUUGGGGGGAGGGGGGCGGAUGUCACAUGCGACCUUGAAAGACAAUUUCCGAUAGAAAAACAUACAUAUAUAUAUAUAGAGAGA
Molecule: long non-coding RNA, 702 nt
Organism: Branchiostoma floridae (Florida lancelet)
Lineage: Eukaryota; Metazoa; Chordata; Leptocardii; Amphioxiformes; Branchiostomatidae
Exons: 2
Source: RefSeq, a predicted model, not a curated record